RNA transcript from Brienomyrus brachyistius, 1220 nucleotides. RefSeq lists it as uncharacterized. The transcript has 4 exons. NCBI's taxonomy places the organism in Eukaryota, Metazoa, Chordata, Actinopteri, Osteoglossiformes, Mormyridae. The record is from RefSeq and is a predicted model, not a curated record.
GAAUUUCAUUUUAUCCUGUUGCUAUUCUUCAUUAAUCACAUUUGCAUUCAUAUAGAUUUGAAAAUGACAAUAUCAAGCAUAGAAAACAUUUUUAUUAUACACGAAGUUUAUAUAAGUUUAGGAGGGCGUUUCAAACUGGUAGCCCUUAAUUCGUAUGGCUCCGUACCCGUGAAGUAGCUCUCAGUUUCAAAAAGGUUGGUGACCCCUGGUCUGGAGCCUGCAGGAGCUGAUCAAGUGUCCUGUUAUGAAUAUUAAAUAGAGAGCCACCCUUGUUGACAUCCCACAAUAACUCUGACCGAUCGAUCCGCUGAUAUUGCCAUCCUCACCCCCCUCGCUCCUGGUCGCUAGGAACUCAAUCAAACACCCACGCCAAGAGUCCUCCCGCGAACAACGAUAUCAACGAGACCUCAUUAAGCAGCUUGUUUCAAACGUUUUCAUCCAGAGCUUGCAUAUUCGUUUAUGGGGUAUACACCGAUGUCCAUGGAGUGUUAUCCUGGGAGCAAAAGCACCCCCAUGAGAGAAACAUUUCCCUGAGUGAGAACAAGACGCACGUCAUCACCAUGACAGACGGCUUCUACCUGGUGUUUGUGCAGGUGACCUACAAAAUCAACUGCAGCCAGGCCACAGAGUAUACUGACCUCAUGCUGACCGUCAACCAUUUUUACGAAGAGGGCGAGCAGUACUACUCGGCGGUCUUCAAGACGCACUGUGGGACUUGUGGGGGCUGUCAGCAGAAAGGUGACCCGGAGAGCGUAGACGUGGUCCUCAGUCAGCCCACCUUGCUCUGGAUGAAGCAAAAUGACAAACUGACAGUCACAGUCAGCCACAGAGAGUUUGUGGAGUUUAUUUAUUACCCAACCUCGACGUUCCUCAUGGUCGUUAAGUACUCAGAUUAGCCAAUCCUGUGCCAGAAAAGGGGAUGGGAAUGAAAUUUCUGUUUGAAGUUUCACUGUAAUGUUUUGCGUCUUAUCCGAAGAAAUCCAGUUUUUUUGCAAAUAGAACACGACCAAACAUUAACACACAACAUAACAAACACCCCCCAGAAUGCCUGACCCCCCUUGCCCGCCACCCCACGCACCCAUAGGGUACCAACAAACUGCCAGCAUGCAACAUAGCGGAGAUGGUCUUGGCAAUUAAUUGUAAUUUUGACUGACACAGCUUGGGAGGGGGGAACCCCCCAAGCUCCACCCAUGAGGCUGUGGUGACAGGCGCCCAGGAAA